AUGCUGACAUAAGUAACGAUAAAGCGGGUGAAAAGCCCGCUCGCCGGAAGACCAAGGGUUCCUGUCCAACGUUAAUCGGGGCAGGGUGAGUCGACCCCUAAGGCGAGGCCGAAAGGCGUAGUCGAUGGGAAACAGGUUAAUAUUCCUGUACUUGGUGUUACUGCGAAGGGGGGACGGAGAAGGCUAUGUUGGCCGGGCGACGGUUGUCCCGGUUUAAGCGUGUAGGCUGGUUUUCCAGGCAAAUCCGGAAAAUCAAGGCUGAGGCGUGAUGACGAGGCACUACGGUGCUGAAGCAACAAAUGCCCUGCUUCCAGGAAAAGCCUCUAAGCAUCAGGUAACAUCAAAUCGUACCCCAAACCGACACAGGUGGUCAGGUAGAGAAUACCAAGGCGCUUGAGAGAACUCGGGUGAAGGAACUAGGCAAAAUGGUGCCGUAACUUCGGGAGAAGGCACGCUGAUAUGUAGGUGAAGUCCCUCGCGGAUGGAGCUGAAAUCAGUCGAAGAUACCAGCUGGCUGCAACUGUUUAUUAAAAACACAGCACUGUGCAAACACGAAAGUGGACGUAUACGGUGUGACGCCUGCCCGGUGCCGGAAGGUUAAUUGAUGGGGUCAGCGCAAGCGAAGCUCUUGAUCGAAGCCCCGGUAAACGGCGGCCGUAACUAUAACGGUCCUAAGGUAGCGAAAUUCCUUGUCGGGUAAGUUCCGACCUGCACGAAUGGCGUAAUGAUGGCCAGGCUGUCUCCACCCGAGACUCAGUGAAAUUGAACUCGCUGUGAAGAUGCAGUGUACCCGCGGCAAGACGGAAAGACCCCGUGAACCUUUACUAUAGCUUGACACUGAACAUUGAGCCUUGAUGUGUAGGAUAGGUGGGAGGCUUUGAAGUGUGGACGCCAGUCUGCAUGGAGCCGACCUUGAAAUACCACCCUUUAAUGUUUGAUGUUCUAACGUGGACCCGUGAUCCGGGUUGCGGACAGUGUCUGGUGGGUAGUUUGACUGGGGCGGUCUCCUCCUAAAGAGUAACGGAGGAGCACGAAGGUUGGCUAAUCCUGGUCGGACAUCAGGAGGUUAGUGCAAUGGCAUAAGCCAGCUUGACUGCGAGCGUGACGGCGCGAGCAGGUGCGAAAGCAGGUCAUAGUGAUCCGGUGGUUCUGAAUGGAAGGGCCAUCGCUCAACGGAUAAAAGGUACUCCGGGGAUAACAGGCUGAUACCGCCCAAGAGUUCAUAUCGACGGCGGUGUUUGGCACCUCGAUGUCGGCUCAUCACAUCCUGGGGCUGAAGUAGGUCCCAAGGGUAUGGCUGUUCGCCAUUUAAAGUGGUACGCGAGCUGGGUUUAGAACGUCGUGAGACAGUUCGGUCCCUAUCUGCCGUGGGCGCUGGAGAACUGAGGGGGGCUGCUCCUAGUACGAGAGGACCGGAGUGGACGCAUCACUGGUGUUCGGGUUGUCAUGCCAAUGGCACUGCCCGGUAGCUAAAUGCGGAAGAGAUAAGUGCUGAAAGCAUCUAAGCACGAAACUUGCCCCGAGAUGAGUUCUCCCUGACCCUUUAAGGGUCCUGAAGGAACGUUGAAGACGACGACGUUGAUAGGCCGGGUGUGUAAGCGCAGCGAUGCGUUGAGCUAACCGGUACUAAUGAACCGUGAGGCUUAACCUUACAACGCCGAAGGUGUUU
RNAcentral lists this ribosomal RNA (1669 nucleotides) under Escherichia coli. Its description in RNAcentral is "partial 23S ribosomal RNA". It matches the Rfam family "Bacterial large subunit ribosomal RNA", at positions 1294 to 2925 of the family's 2925-position model. The record is from RNAcentral. Lineage: Bacteria; Pseudomonadati; Pseudomonadota; Gammaproteobacteria; Enterobacterales; Enterobacteriaceae.